ACGGUCCUCCGCGCGCGACUACGCUCAUAAAAGGAAAAAAAGCGUGUGCGGUUCUCGACGUGCCGCCAAUCUUCGAACGCAGGUCCGUGAUCAUCCGCUGACUCCGAAAAAGCGUUCGAGGAACGCGCCUGCUCCCCUCGUCGCAGUUUCCAGGCCGACGAGCUUGUUUUGUCCGAGACUCGGUGCCACUGUAGACAAUGGCCCUCGUGUCUGCCGAUUCCCGCAUUGCAGAACUUCUCACAGAGCUCCAUCAGCUGAUCAAACAAACCCAGGAAGAGCGUUCACGGAGCGAACACAACUUAGUGAACAUCCAGAAGACCCAUGAGCGGAUGCAGACAGAGAACAAGAGUGAGUAGCUGGGCACAGGAGAGAAAGGGGAUGAGACGGGGCUGGGGUGAAUAUGGCCAAGACUGGGACCGAGGUGGUCAUUGUAUUCAAAAUAGAUUUGCAUGUAUCUGCAUAUUCCAAAAUGCAGCAGGAGGGACAGCUUUCCGUUAAUCUGGGUGACCUGAAGAACUAAAAUCCCUCCACUCUGAGGAUUCGAAAGGCAGUGAAAUGAGGCUGCAUCUAGGGAACCUUGCCCUCAGAGCGCACAAGCACCCCAGUUAGCUGGUGUUUUCUAGAAAGGAGCUUCCUUCCCAGGCGGCCCCUGCAUCUGCCCUGAGGCCCUCAGGUGGUCAGAUCUGGGGCUGGGGCUUUCUUACUCUGGGUAACUCUGAGAAUUGUGUUUUCCUGGGUCCUGACAAAUAUUUUCUGUGAGUG
Molecule: small RNA, 762 nt
Filed under: Pongo abelii (Sumatran orangutan)
Lineage: Eukaryota; Metazoa; Chordata; Mammalia; Primates; Hominidae
Description: retained intron
Source: RNAcentral